ACGGAGGGAGCGAGCGUUAAUCGGAAUUACUGGGCGUAAAGCGCGCGUAGGCGGCUUUGUAAGUCGGAUGUGAAAGCCCAGGGCUUAACCCUGGAAUUGCAUUCGAUACUGCAUAGCUAGAGUAUGGUAGAGGGAAGUGGAAUUUCCGGUGUAGCGGUGAAAUGCGUAGAUAUCGGAAGGAACACCAGUGGCGAAGGCGACUUCCUGGGCCAAUACUGACGCUGAGGUGCGAAAGCGUGGGGAGCAAACAGG
This 252-nucleotide ribosomal RNA is filed under the name uncultured bacterium. Its description in RNAcentral is "partial 16S ribosomal RNA". It matches the Rfam family "Bacterial small subunit ribosomal RNA", at positions 525 to 776 of the family's 1533-position model. The record is from RNAcentral.